GGGCUGGGGCUCAGUGGUAGAGCACUUGCCUAGCACGUGUGAGGCACUGGGUUCAAUCCUCAGCAUCACA
This 70-nucleotide transfer RNA is filed under the name Marmota monax (woodchuck). RNAcentral's name for it is "tRNA.Ala". Lineage: Eukaryota; Metazoa; Chordata; Mammalia; Rodentia; Sciuridae. The record is from RNAcentral.